UACGUAUGGAGCAAGCGUUAUCCGGAUUUAUUGGGUUUAAAGGGAGCGUAGGCGGGUUGUUAAGUCAGUUGUGAAAGUUUGCGGCUCAACCGUAAAAUUGCAGUUGAUACUGGCAUCCUUGAGUACAGUAGAGGUAGGCGGAAUUCGUGGUGUAGCGGUGAAAUGCUUAGAUAUCACGAAGAACUCCGAUUGCGAAGGCAGCAUACCGGCGCCCGACUGACGCUGAAGCACGAAAGCGUGGGUAUCGAACAGG
Molecule: ribosomal RNA, 253 nt
Filed under: uncultured Bacteroides sp.
Lineage: Bacteria; Pseudomonadati; Bacteroidota; Bacteroidia; Bacteroidales; Bacteroidaceae
Description: partial 16S ribosomal RNA
Rfam family: Bacterial small subunit ribosomal RNA
Source: RNAcentral